GUAAUAAUCCUGUAGUCGAAAAUGUUGUCUCUCUUGAGUGGAUCCUGAGUACGACGGAGCACGUGAAAUUCCGUCGGAAUCUGGGAGGACCAUCUCCUAAGGCUAAAUACUCUCUAGUGACCGAUAGUGAACCAGUACCGUGAGGGAAAGGUGAAAAGCACCCCGGAAGGGGAGUGAAAUAGAACCUGAAACCGUGUGCUUACAAGUAGUCAGAGCCCGUUAAUGGGUGAUGGCGUGCCUUUUGUAGAAUGAACCGGCGAGUUACGAUUUGAUGCAAGGUUAAGCAGUAAAUGUGGAGCCGUAGCGAAAGCGAGUCUGAAUAGGGCGUUUAGUAUUUGGUCGUAGACCCGAAACCAGGUGAUCUACCCUUGGUCAGGUUGAAGUUCAGGUAACACUGAAUGGAGGACCGAACCGACUUACGUUGAAAAGUGAGCGGAUGAACUGAGGGUAGCGGAGAAAUUCCAAUCGAACCUGGAGAUAGCUGGUUCUCUCCGAAAUAGCUUUAGGGCUAGCCUCAAGUGAUGAUUAUUGGAGGUAGAGCACUGUUUGGACGAGGGGCCCCUCUCGGGUUACCGAAUUCAGACAAACUCCGAAUGCCAAUUAAUUUAACUUGGGAGUCAGAACAUGGGUGAUAAGGUCCGUGUUCGAAAGGGAAACAGCCCAGACCACCAGCUAAGGUCCCAAAAUAUAUGUUAAGUGGAAAAGGAUGUGGCGUUGCCCAGACAACUAGGAUGUUGGCUUAGAAGCAGCCAUCAUUUAAAGAGUGCGUAAUAGCUCACUAGUCGAGUGACACUGCGCCGAAAAUGUACCGGGGCUAAACAUAUUACCGAAGCUGUGGAUUGUCCUUUGGACAAUGGUAGGAGAGCGUUCUAAGGGCGUUGAAGCAUGAUCGUAAGGACAUGUGGAGCGCUUAGAAGUGAGAAUGCCGGUGUGAGUAGCGAAAGACGGGUGAGAAUCCCGUCCACCGAUUGACUAAGGUUUCCAGAGGAAGGCUCGUCCGCUCUGGGUUAGUCGGGUCCUAAGCUGAGGCCGACAGGCGUAGGCGAUGGAUAACAGGUUGAUAUUCCUGUACCACCUAUAAUCGUUUUAAUCGAUGGGGGG
RNAcentral lists this ribosomal RNA (1101 nucleotides) under Staphylococcus aureus. Its description in RNAcentral is "partial 23S ribosomal RNA". It matches the Rfam family "Bacterial large subunit ribosomal RNA", at positions 364 to 1471 of the family's 2925-position model. The record is from RNAcentral. Lineage: Bacteria; Bacillati; Bacillota; Bacilli; Caryophanales; Staphylococcaceae.